This 336-nucleotide unclassified non-coding RNA is filed under the name soil metagenome. RNAcentral describes it as "partial contains 5.8S ribosomal RNA, internal transcribed spacer 2, and large subunit ribosomal RNA". The stretch from base 1 to 120 matches the Rfam family "5.8S ribosomal RNA", at positions 35 to 154 of the family's 154-position model. The record is from RNAcentral.
GAUGAAGAACGUAGCGAAAUGCGAUAAGUAAUGUGAAUUGCAGAAUUCAGUGAAUCAUCGAAUCUUUGAACGCACAUUGCGCCCGCCAGUAUUCUGGUGGGCAUGCCUGUUCGAGCGUCAUUUCAACCAUCAAGCCCCCGGCUUGUGUUGGGGACCUGCGGCUGCCGCAGGCCCUGAAAAGCAGUGGCGGGCUCGCUGUCACACCGAGCGUAGUAGCAUACAUCUCGCUCUGGGCGUGCUGCGGGUUCCGGCCGUUAAACCACCUUCAUAACCCAAGGUUGACCUCGGAUCAGGUAGGAAGACCCGCUGAACUUAAGCAUAUCAAUAAGCGGAGGA